UAAAAUUUUCUGUUAAAUUGCUGACAUGGCACUUGUGCGGAGCCCACACAUUCAAUGGUAUAAAGCCAAGUGGCUUUAAAUAAAAUAAAAUAUAUUUUAAAUCUUUUAAAACUUUUAAUUCAAAAAAAUAAAAAUAAAAACUGCACCAUGACCAUCCCCUCUGUGUCCUCCCUUUGCUAGCGCUGCGCCUCCCCCCUUGCAAACACACUCUUUGCCUCUCUCUC
Molecule: long non-coding RNA, 224 nt
Filed under: Prunus persica (peach)
Lineage: Eukaryota; Viridiplantae; Streptophyta; Magnoliopsida; Rosales; Rosaceae
Description: long non-coding RNA (PPER_LNC004219)
Source: RNAcentral